This 1977-nucleotide ribosomal RNA is filed under the name Staphylococcus aureus DAR3629. RNAcentral describes it as "bacterial LSU rRNA". It matches the Rfam family "Bacterial large subunit ribosomal RNA", at positions 944 to 2925 of the family's 2925-position model. The record is from RNAcentral. Lineage: Bacteria; Bacillati; Bacillota; Bacilli; Caryophanales; Staphylococcaceae.
UUCAGACAAACUCCGAAUGCCAAUUAAUUUAACUUGGGAGUCAGAACAUGGGUGAUAAGGUCCGUGUUCGAAAGGGAAACAGCCCAGACCACCAGCUAAGGUCCCAAAAUAUAUGUUAAGUGGAAAAGGAUGUGGCGUUGCCCAGACAACUAGGAUGUUGGCUUAGAAGCAGCCAUCAUUUAAAGAGUGCGUAAUAGCUCACUAGUCGAGUGACACUGCGCCGAAAAUGUACCGGGGCUAAACAUAUUACCGAAGCUGUGGAUUGUCCUUUGGACAAUGGUAGGAGAGCGUUCUAAGGGCGUUGAAGCAUGAUCGUAAGGACAUGUGGAGCGCUUAGAAGUGAGAAUGCCGGUGUGAGUAGCGAAAGACGGGUGAGAAUCCCGUCCACCGAUUGACUAAGGUUUCCAGAGGAAGGCUCGUCCGCUCUGGGUUAGUCGGGUCCUAAGCUGAGGCCGACAGGCGUAGGCGAUGGAUAACAGGUUGAUAUUCCUGUACCACCUAUAAUCGUUUUAAUCGAUGGGGGGACGCAGUAGGAUAGGCGAAGCGUGCGAUUGGAUUGCACGUCUAAGCAGUAAGGCUGAGUAUUAGGCAAAUCCGGUACUCGUUAAGGCUGAGCUGUGAUGGGGAGAAGACAUUGAGUCUUCGAGUCGUUGAUUUCACACUGCCGAGAAAAGCCUCUAGAUAGAAAAUAGGUGCCCGUACCGCAAACCGACACAGGUAGUCAAGAUGAGAAUUCUAAGGUGAGCGAGCGAACUCUCGUUAAGGAACUCGGCAAAAUGACCCCGUAACUUCGGGAGAAGGGGUGCUCUUUAGGGUUAACGCCCAGAAGAGCCGCAGUGAAUAGGCCCAAGCGACUGUUUAUCAAAAACACAGGUCUCUGCUAAACCGUAAGGUGAUGUAUAGGGGCUGACGCCUGCCCGGUGCUGGAAGGUUAAGAGGAGUGGUUAGCUUCUGCGAAGCUACGAAUCGAAGCCCCAGUAAACGGCGGCCGUAACUAUAACGGUCCUAAGGUAGCGAAAUUCCUUGUCGGGUAAGUUCCGACCCGCACGAAAGGCGUAACGAUUUGGGCACUGUCUCAACGAGAGACUCGGUGAAAUCAUAGUACCUGUGAAGAUGCAGGUUACCCGCGACAGGACGGAAAGACCCCGUGGAGCUUUACUGUAGCCUGAUAUUGAAAUUCGGCACAGCUUGUACAGGAUAGGUAGGAGCCUUUGAAACGUGAGCGCUAGCUUACGUGGAGGCGCUGGUGGGAUACUACCCUAGCUGUGUUGGCUUUCUAACCCGCACCACUUAUCGUGGUGGGAGACAGUGUCAGGCGGGCAGUUUGACUGGGGCGGUCGCCUCCUAAAAGGUAACGGAGGCGCUCAAAGGUUCCCUCAGAAUGGUUGGAAAUCAUUCAUAGAGUGUAAAGGCAUAAGGGAGCUUGACUGCGAGACCUACAAGUCGAGCAGGGUCGAAAGACGGACUUAGUGAUCCGGUGGUUCCGCAUGGAAGGGCCAUCGCUCAACGGAUAAAAGCUACCCCGGGGAUAACAGGCUUAUCUCCCCCAAGAGUUCACAUCGACGGGGAGGUUUGGCACCUCGAUGUCGGCUCAUCGCAUCCUGGGGCUGUAGUCGGUCCCAAGGGUUGGGCUGUUCGCCCAUUAAAGCGGUACGCGAGCUGGGUUCAGAACGUCGUGAGACAGUUCGGUCCCUAUCCGUCGUGGGCGUAGGAAAUUUGAGAGGAGCUGUCCUUAGUACGAGAGGACCGGGAUGGACAUACCUCUGGUGUACCAGUUGUCGUGCCAACGGCAUAGCUGGGUAGCUAUGUGUGGACGGGAUAAGUGCUGAAAGCAUCUAAGCAUGAAGCCCCCCUCAAGAUGAGAUUUCCCAACUUCGGUUAUAAGAUCCCUCAAAGAUGAUGAGGUUAAUAGGUUCGAGGUGGAAGCAUGGUGACAUGUGGAGCUGACGAAUACUAAUCGAUCGAAGACUUAAUCAA